AUAAAAGCGAUGAUAAGAAGUAGUAAUAAUUAUAUGAGGUAAACAGAAAGUAACCGGUUGAUGAGAGGUGCAAACUAAGUUGAUUAUGAAUUCAUCUUUGAGCUUCACACUGAAGGGCAUAGCUUGGUAGGAUGUGACGUGAUAACACACGUUAUAGUGUUAGGGUAUUCCAAGGAGUACUUAUUGAGGCAAAUAAUGUGAGUUAUUUGCAAACUAAGGUGGUAACGCGAGAAAAGCUCUCGUCCUUUUA
This 250-nucleotide non-coding RNA is filed under the name Terrisporobacter sp. RNAcentral's name for it is "T-box sequence". It matches the Rfam family "T-box leader". Rfam says of the family: Uncharged tRNA acts as the effector for transcription antitermination of genes in the T-box leader family. T-boxes are found upstream of many aminoacyl-tRNA synthetase genes and some amino acid biosynthetic genes usually in Gram-positive bacteria. The anticodon of a specific tRNA base pairs to a specifier sequence within the T-box motif, and the NCCA acceptor tail of the tRNA base pairs to a conserved bulge in the T-box antiterminator hairpin. The record is from RNAcentral. Lineage: Bacteria; Bacillati; Bacillota; Clostridia; Peptostreptococcales; Peptostreptococcaceae.